UGGGGGAUCGUCUAAUUGGCAGGACGCAUGACUCUGGAUCAUGUAGUGGUGGUUCGAGUCCACCUCCCCCAGCCA
This 75-nucleotide transfer RNA is filed under the name Acetomicrobium flavidum. Its description in RNAcentral is "tRNA-Gln". It matches the Rfam family "tRNA". Rfam says of the family: Transfer RNA (tRNA) molecules are approximately 80 nucleotides in length. Their secondary structure includes four short double-helical elements and three loops (D, anti-codon, and T loops). Lineage: Bacteria; Thermotogati; Synergistota; Synergistia; Synergistales; Acetomicrobiaceae. RNAcentral also lists the same sequence under 6 other names. The record is from RNAcentral.